GUUUGCAGAAUCGCUACAAAAUUCAUGUUAAUUUCCAGCGAAUGAAUAAGGUCUGAUUUUUUGUAUGUAUUUCUAUUUCGUGUUGUCUAGGGUUAGCAAGGUGGACAUGACUAAUACUAUUGUAGAAAGCACCGCAAAUUUUGCCUUGAAUGAAACAUGGUCUUUGGGUGAGACUGUGAGCACCCAAAACAUUUUUGCUUGCU
This 203-nucleotide long non-coding RNA is filed under the name Hordeum vulgare. RNAcentral describes it as "long non-coding RNA (HVUL_LNC018190)". The record is from RNAcentral. Lineage: Eukaryota; Viridiplantae; Streptophyta; Magnoliopsida; Poales; Poaceae.